Molecule: ribosomal RNA, 460 nt
Filed under: uncultured bacterium
Lineage: Bacteria
Description: partial 16S ribosomal RNA
Rfam family: Bacterial small subunit ribosomal RNA
Source: RNAcentral
CCUACGGGUGGCAGCAGUGAGGAAUAUUGGUCAAUGGGCGGAAGCCUGAACCAGCCAAGUAGCGUGCAGGAUGACGGCCCUACGGGUUGUAAACUGCUUUUAUACGGGAAUAACGCGCCUUACGUGUAGGGCUUUGCAUGUACCGUAUGAAUAAGGACCGGCUAAUUCCGUGCCAGCAGCCGCGGUAAUACGGAGGGUCCGGGCGUUAUCCGGAGUUAUUGGGUUUAAAGGGAGCGUAGGCCGCAUGUCAAGCGUGCUGUGAAAUGUCCGGGCUCAACCCGGGCAUUGCAGUGCGCACUGGCGGGCUUGAGUCCACGGGAGGCAGGCGGAAUUCGUCGUGUAGCGGUGAAAUGCUUAGAUAUGACGAAGAACCCCGAUUGCGAAGGCAGCUUGCUGCAGCGGAACUGACGCUGAUGCUCGAAAGCGCGGGUAUCGAACAGGAUUAGAUACCCCUGUAGUC